This 450-nucleotide ribosomal RNA is filed under the name uncultured bacterium. Its description in RNAcentral is "bacterial SSU rRNA". It matches the Rfam family "Bacterial small subunit ribosomal RNA", at positions 329 to 793 of the family's 1533-position model. The record is from RNAcentral.
GGCCAGACUCCUACGGGAGGCAGCAGUGGGGAAUAUUGCACAAUGGGGGAAACCCUGAUGCAGCGACGCCGCGUGAAGGAAGAAGUAUCUCGGUAUGUAAACUUCUAUCAGCAGGGAAGAAAACAGACGGUACCUGACUAAGAAGCCCCGGCUAACUACGUGCCAGCAGCCGCGGUAAUACGUAGGGGGCAAGCGUUAUCCGGAUUUACUGGGUGUAAAGGGGGCGCAGACGGCCAUGGCAAGCCCGGUGUGAAAGGCAGGGGCAUAACCCCUGGACUGCACUGGGAACUGUCAGGCUGGAGUGCCGGAGGGGUAAGCGGAAUUCCUGGUGUAGCGGUGAAAUGCGUAGAUAUCAGGAGGAACACCGGCGGCGAAGGCGGCUUACUGGACGGCAACUGACGUUGAGGCUCGAAAGCGUGGGGAGCAAACAGGAUUAGAUACCCCCGUAAG